GACGAACGCUGGCGGCGUGCUUAACACAUGCAAGUCGAACGGAAAGGCCCUGCUUUUGUGGGGUGCUCGAGUGGCGAACGGGUGAGUAACACGUGAGUAACCUGCCCUUGACUUUGGGAUAACUUCAGGAAACUAGGGCUAAUACCGGAUAGGAGCUCCUGCUGCAUGGUGGGGGUUGGAAAGUUUCGGCGGUUGGGGAUGGACUCGCGGCUUAUCAGCUUGUUGGUGGGGUAGUGGCUUACCAAGGCUUUGACGGGCAGCCGGCCUGAGAGGGUGACCGGCCACAUUGGGACUGAGAUACGGCCCAGACUCCUACGGGAGGCAGCAGUGGGGAAUAUUGCACAAUGGGCGGAAGCCUGAUGCAGCAACGCCGCGUGCGGGAUGACGGCCUUCGGGUUGUAAACCGCUUUCGCCUGUGACGAAGCGUGAGUGACGGUAAUGGGUAAAGAAGCACCGGCUAACUACGUG
RNAcentral lists this ribosomal RNA (468 nucleotides) under uncultured bacterium. RNAcentral describes it as "partial 16S ribosomal RNA". It matches the Rfam family "Bacterial small subunit ribosomal RNA", at positions 28 to 507 of the family's 1533-position model. The record is from RNAcentral.